Non-coding RNA from Rattus norvegicus (Norway rat), 826 nucleotides. The record is from RefSeq and is a predicted model, not a curated record. Lineage: Eukaryota; Metazoa; Chordata; Mammalia; Rodentia; Muridae.
CAAUCAGAGAGUAAGGAACACAUACCUCCUAGGCAAUCAGAGAGGAAUGAUCAUGACAACUGAACUCUGGGCCUCAUACACACAAGAAUUAUGAUGCGACGAUGAUCCUGAAAUGAAGCAAGUGGAAACCCUCGAAAACGCAAAUCAAGUAGUUUUAGUUCCGUUCUAAGAAGAUUCUAUUUCUGCGCCACAGCCAUCUCCCAGUCUUCAACAACAGGCAGUGAUUUCAAAUCAAUGGAUGUGCUAAAUAAGCAGAACAGGGUCUCUUUUACCGUAGGAUACUGUCUGCUCAUCUGGGUUCGGAAUUCAAGUCAACAAGAAUGCAGCUACAGCUGAUCCCUUUGUGCCACAGAAAGUGAGCAUGAAAUACACUGCUGCAUUUGUGACCCACUACGGUUUGAGGAUUAUUGCUAAUGCAGCAUAAAACAGCAGGCUUGCCCAGUAACACACCUUUCCUGGCUUUAACCCUGGGCUGUCGUUUAAAUCCUAAAAGUCCCACAACAUCCCAUGUAUUCUAGGCAACAUUACCACCCAAGGAGCUACUGGGAAAUCGUACAACCUUUCAGGUCUACUGGGAAGAAGUUAAGUCCUUGGGGGUGUAUGCUUGAAGGAAAUAUUAGCUCUUUGCUUCCUGGCUACCAUGAAGUGAAUAGCCUAUAGCCCCAUGGUAUCUCCCUGCCACAAUGUACAACCUCACCAUAGGCACAGACAGCAAUAGGGCUGACCAACUAUGGGCCAAAGUUUCCAAACCUGUGAGCCAAUGAAAUCGUUUGCACCUUUGCAACAGACUAUCUCAAGUAUUUUGUUAUAGGGGUGGCUAAAGGAA